RNAcentral lists this ribosomal RNA (361 nucleotides) under uncultured bacterium. RNAcentral describes it as "partial 16S ribosomal RNA". It matches the Rfam family "Bacterial small subunit ribosomal RNA", at positions 338 to 696 of the family's 1533-position model. The record is from RNAcentral.
CCUACGGGGGGCAGCAGUGAGGAAUCUUGGUCAAUGGACGGAAGUCUGAACCAGCCAUGCCGCGUGCAGGAAGACGGCUCUAUGAGUUGUAAACUGCUUUUGUACAAGGGUAAACUUGAAUACGUGUAUUCAGCUGAUAUUACUGUACGUAUUAGGAUCGGCUAACUCCGUGCCAUCAGCUGCGGUAAUACGGAGGAUCCAAUCGGUAUCCGGAUUUAUUGGGUUUAACGGGUGCGUAGGCGGAUUUAUAAGUUAGAGGUGAAAUUUCCGAGCUUAACUCGGGAACUGCCUCUAAUACUGUUGAUCUAGAGAGUAGAUGCGGUAGGCGGAAUGUAAGGUGUAGCGGUGAAAUGCUUAGAGA